RNAcentral lists this long non-coding RNA (332 nucleotides) under Elaeis guineensis (African oil palm). RNAcentral's name for it is "long non-coding RNA (EGUI_LNC043963)". Lineage: Eukaryota; Viridiplantae; Streptophyta; Magnoliopsida; Arecales; Arecaceae. The record is from RNAcentral.
CCUCUAGCCAGCUGUAGAUUUUCAAGGGCAGGAUGAGGCUCGCUGUUCUGUUGCAUUCCCCUUACUACAACUAAAAAAUACCUACACCUGUUGGAUGAGGCUAUUAUAUUGAUCUUGAGAGAUUGCUGGUGCUGCUGGUGGUAGAUUCUCCUGAAUCGAUGGUGCUGGUACAUUGGUCAACUAGAUGUUGUUGGCCUACCAGUCAUUGGAGCAUUGCGAUGCCUUGGAUGCACCCCUUCAUGUCCUUAUAGUAUCUGGUGGGGGGCUCUCUUCUCUCAAGAUAGGACCUCGAAACUAGUCGGGGACCCUUCCUCUAGUGCCAAGUGUUGCUC